Molecule: ribosomal RNA, 520 nt
Filed under: uncultured Glomus
Lineage: Eukaryota; Fungi; Glomeromycota; Glomeromycetes; Glomerales; Glomeraceae
Description: SSU rRNA
Rfam family: Eukaryotic small subunit ribosomal RNA
Source: RNAcentral
AGCAGCCGCGGUAAUUCCAGCUCCAAUAGCGUAUAUUAAAGUUGCUGCAGUUAAAAAGCUCGUAGUUGAAUUUCGGGGUUAGUAGGUUGGUCAUGCCUCUGGUAUGCACUGGCCUCACUGAUUCCUCCUUCCUGAUGAGCCGUAAUGCCAUUAAUUUGGUGUUGCGGGGAAUUUGGACUGUUACUUUGAAAAAAUUAGAGUGUUUAAAGCAAGCUAACGCUUGAAUACAUUAGCAUGGAAUAAUGAAAUAGGACGUUCGAUCCUAUUUUGUUGGUUUCUAGGAUUGACGUAAUGAUUAAUAGGGAUAGUUGGGGGCAUUAGUAUUCAAUUGUCAGAGGUGAAAUUCUUGGAUUUAUUGAAGACUAACUACUGCGAAAGCAUUUGCCAAGGAUGUUUUCAUUAAUCAAGAACGAAAGUUAGGGGAUCAAAGACGAUCAGAUACCGUCGUAGUCUUAACCAUAAACUAUGCCGACUAGGGAUCGGAUGAUGUUAAUUUUUUAAUGACUCAUUCGGCGCCUUA